AAGAGACAGCAGUCGCCGCGGGAAUACAGAGGGUGCAAGCGUUAAUCGGAAUUACUGGGCGUAAAGCGCGCGUAGGUGGUUUGUUAAGUUGGAUGUGAAAUCCCCGGGCUCAACCUGGGAACUGCAUCCAAAACUGGCAAGCUAGAGUAUGGUAGAGGGUGGUGGAAUUUCCUGUGUAGCGGUGAAAUGCGUAGAUAUAGGAAGGAACACCAGUGGCGAAGGCGACCACCUGGACUGAUACUGACACUGAGGUGCGAAAGCGUGGGGAGCAAACAGGAUUAGAUACCCCUGUAGUCCCUGUCUCUUAUAA
This 310-nucleotide ribosomal RNA is filed under the name uncultured bacterium. RNAcentral's name for it is "partial 16S ribosomal RNA". It matches the Rfam family "Bacterial small subunit ribosomal RNA", at positions 503 to 809 of the family's 1533-position model. The record is from RNAcentral.